This 863-nucleotide long non-coding RNA is filed under the name Medicago truncatula (barrel medic). RNAcentral describes it as "lncRNA gene2784". Lineage: Eukaryota; Viridiplantae; Streptophyta; Magnoliopsida; Fabales; Fabaceae. The record is from RNAcentral.
CUUCACUCUCUUCUCUUAUUUCUAGAGAGAGAGGCUCUGCCUUCUCUCUAGAAUUUCUUCACCUUCUCCGACGAGGAGAGGCUACCGGAGGUGGUUCCGGCGCGGUGGCCGGUGAGCCACAGCGGCUGCGCCGCCGCGCCGGAGAUGAAAGUAUAUCCUUUUUUUAUUUUUUUACGUCCUCUCUCCUUCUUUUCUCUCCCUCUUUCCGAUUUUGCACACAAAAUUUCCAAACAAAAGUUAAAACGUCCUAGAUCUAAAAGGAAAGAAAAUACUACUUUCUUUUCUACUUGAACGGAUUUGUUUGUGACGGUUUGUUGUUGUUGUUGUGAGAAUAGUUUGUGUUCUUGUGACGUGUGUGUUGUGCGGUUUGGUUACCGGAUCUGUGAGUUUGGUUGUUGAUCUUGUGUUAGAGAUGUUCUGGUUUGAAAUUUGUGUUUGGUAAUUUGCGAUGUUAUUUGUGUGAUGUUGAUUAUGUGAAAAAAAAUGUUUGUGUUUUGGUUCUGGCUGUGAUUGUAGGUCGGGAUCAAAAAGAAGUGGAGUGAAAAUUGUUGUAUGUGUUCUAGCUGUGGAAUGUUUUUUUCAUGUUGGGCCCCCUUCUUCUUGGCUGCUUGCGUGUUUGUAUUUAUAGAGCAGAAUUUUGUUGCUUGGAGAGGAACAUGACAGCCUGUUUUGAGCUGUGUGUUUGGAUAUUAUCGGACAAAAUUUUGAUUUAUUUUUGGACAUUAAAAAUAAAAUAAAAUGACUAAGAAUAAAUAAAACAAAAAUAAGAUAAAAUAAAGGUUAAAAAAAAUGAAAUUAAAAUUAAAUGAAAAUUGAGAGAAGAGGGCCCGACUCGGAAUCAAAUAUGAGGUAUUUUAAAAUAC